GACGAACGCUGGCGGCGCGCCUAACACAUGCAAGUCGAACGAGCGAGAGGAGGUUUACUUUCUCAAGCGAGUGGCGAACGGGUGAGUAACGCGUGAGGAACCUGCCUCAAAGAGGGGGACAACAGUUGGAAACGACUGCUAAUACCGCAUAAGCCCACGACCCGGCAUCGGGUAGAGGGAAAAGGAGCAAUCCGCUUUGAGAUGGCCUCGCGUCCGAUUAGCUAGUUGGUGAGGUAAUGGCCCACCAAGGCGACGAUCGGUAGCCGGACUGAGAGGUUGAACGGCCACAUUGGGACUGAGACACGGCCCAGACUCCUACGGGAGGCAGCAGUGGGGAAUAUUGCACAAUGGGGGAAACCCUGAUGCAGCGACGCCGCGUGGAGGAAGAAGGUCUUCGGAUUGUAAACUCCUGUUGUUGAGGAAGAUAAUGACGGUACUCAACAAGGAAGUGACGGCUAACUACGUGCCAGCAGCCGCGGUAAAACGUAGGUCACAAGCGUUGUCCGGAAUUACUGGGUGUAAAGGGAGCGCAGGCGGGAAGACAAGUUGGAAGUGAAAUCCAUGGGCUCAACCCAUGAACCGCUUUCAAAACUGUUUUUCUUGAGUAGCGCAGAGGUAGGCGGAAUUCCCGGUGUAGCGGUGGAAUGCGUAGAUAUCGGGAGGAACACCAGUGGCGAAGGCGGCCUACUGGGCACCAACUGACGCUGAGGCUCGAAAGUGUGGGUAGCAAACAGGAUUAGAUACCCUGGUAGUCCACACUGUAAACGAUGAUUAAGGGGUGUUGGAGGAUUGACCCCCUCAGUGCCGCAGUUAACACAAUAAGUAAUCCACCCGGGGAGUACGACCGCAAAGGUUGAAACUCAAAGGAAUUGACGGGGGCCCGCACAAGCAGUGGAGUAUGUGGUUUAAUUCGACGCAACGCGAAGAACCUUACCAAGUCUUGACAUCCUGCGACGGUGCUGGAAACAGUACUUUCCUUCGGGACGCAGAGACAGGUGGUGCAUGGUUGUCGUCAGCUCGUGUCGUGAGAUGUUGGGUUAAGUCCCGCAACGAGCGCAACCCUUAUGGUCAGUUACUACGCAAGAGGACUCUGGCCAGACUGCCGUUGACAAAACGGAGGAAGGUGGGGAGGACGUCAAAUCAUCAUGCCCCCUAUGACUUGGGCUACACACGUACUACAAUGGCGUUAAACAAAGAGAAGCAAGACCGCGAGGUGGAGCAAAACUCAGAAACAACGUCCCAGUUCGGACUGCAGGCUGCAACUCGCCUGCACGAAGUCGGAAUUGCUAGUAAUCGCAGAUCAGCAUGCUGCGGUGAAUAAAUUCCCGGGCCUUGCACA
This 1339-nucleotide ribosomal RNA is filed under the name uncultured bacterium. Its description in RNAcentral is "bacterial SSU rRNA". It matches the Rfam family "Bacterial small subunit ribosomal RNA", at positions 28 to 1387 of the family's 1533-position model. The record is from RNAcentral.